UCAUAACGGAGGAAAAGAAACCAACAGGGAUUGCCCCAGUAACGGCGAGUGAAGCGGCAACAGCUCAAAUUUGAAAUCUGGCCCCCUCGGGGCCCGAGUUGUAAUUUGCAGAGGGAGCUUUUGGCGUCGGUCGUGGUCUAAGUUCCUUGGAACAGGACGUCACAGAGGGUGAGAAUCCCGUACGUGGCCGCCGGCCUUCGCCUUGUAAAGCCCCUUCGACGAGUCGAGUUGUUUGGGAAUGCAGCUCUAAAUGGGAGGUAAAUUCCUUCUAAAGCUAAAUACCCGCCAGAGACCGAUAGCGCACAAGUAGAGUGAUCGAAAGAUGAAAAGCACUUUGGAAAGAGAGUGAAAAAGCACGUGAAAUUGUUGAAAGGGAAGCGCUUGCGGCUAGACGUGCCCGCGGUUGAUCAUCCAGGCUCCGGCCUGGUGCACUCCUCCGCGGGCAGGCCAGCAUCAGUUCGGGCGGUCGGAUAAAGGCCUCUGUCACGUACCACCCCUCGGGGUGGCCUUAUAGGGGAGGCGCAACACGGCCAGCCCGGACUGAGGUUCCGCGCAUCUGCUAGGAUGCUGGCGUAAUAGCAGCAAGCGGCCCGUCUUGAAACACGGACCAAGGAGUCUAACAUCUAUGCGAGUGUUUGGGUGUCAAGCCCGAGCGCGCAAUGAAAGUGAACGGAGGUGGGAACCCUCACGGGUGCACCAUCGACCGAUCCUGAUGUCUUCGGAUGGAUUUGAGUAAGAGCAUAGCUGUUGGGACCCGAAAGAUGGUGAACUAUGCCUGAAUAGGGUGAAGCCAGAGGAAACUCUGGUGGAGGCUCGCAGCGGUUCUGACGUGCAAAUCGAUCGUCAAAU
This 849-nucleotide ribosomal RNA is filed under the name Torula sp. RNAcentral's name for it is "partial large subunit ribosomal RNA". It matches the Rfam family "Eukaryotic large subunit ribosomal RNA", at positions 43 to 910 of the family's 3401-position model. Lineage: Eukaryota; Fungi; Ascomycota; Dothideomycetes; Pleosporales; Torulaceae. The record is from RNAcentral.